Molecule: transfer RNA, 73 nt
Filed under: Fibrobacterota bacterium
Lineage: Bacteria; Pseudomonadati; Fibrobacterota
Also listed under: 1 other name
Description: Fibrobacteres bacterium tRNA-Ala
Rfam family: tRNA
About the family: Transfer RNA (tRNA) molecules are approximately 80 nucleotides in length. Their secondary structure includes four short double-helical elements and three loops (D, anti-codon, and T loops).
Source: RNAcentral
GGGGUUAUAGCUCAGUUGGUAGAGCGCCUGGUUUGCAACCAGGAGGUCAGGGGUUCGACCCCCCUUGACUCCA